UACAGAGGGUGCAAGCGUUGUUCGGAAUCAUUGGGCGUAAAGGGCGUGUAGGCGGUUUGUUAAGUCAUGUGUGAAAUCCCUCGGCUCAACCGGGGAACGACGCAUGAAACUGGCAAGCUAGAGUACCAAAGAGGGGGGUGGAAUUCCGGGUGUAGCGGUGAAAUGCGUAGAUAUCCGGAGGAACACCGGUGGCGAAGGCGGCUUCCUGGACCGACACUGACGCUGAGGCGCGAAAGCUAGGGGAGCAAACGGG
RNAcentral lists this ribosomal RNA (253 nucleotides) under uncultured bacterium. RNAcentral's name for it is "partial 16S ribosomal RNA". It matches the Rfam family "Bacterial small subunit ribosomal RNA", at positions 524 to 776 of the family's 1533-position model. The record is from RNAcentral.